Molecule: ribosomal RNA, 264 nt
Filed under: uncultured bacterium
Lineage: Bacteria
Description: partial 16S ribosomal RNA
Source: RNAcentral
CUGCUGCCUUCCGUAGGAGUCUGGGCCGUGUCUCAGUCCCAAUGUGGCCGUCCACUCUCUCAAGCCGGCUACUGAUCGCUGCCUUGGUGGGCCGUUACCCCGCCAACUAGCUAAUCAGACGCGGGCCCAUCCUGUACCACCGGAGUUUUCCCCGGCAGCGCCAUGCGGCGCCGCGGGCUUAUGCGGUAUUAGCAGCCGUUUCCGGCUGUUGUCCCCCUGUACAGGGCAGGUUACCCACGCGUUACUCACCCGUCCGCCACUGGG